Small nuclear RNA from Monodelphis domestica (gray short-tailed opossum), 107 nucleotides. Lineage: Eukaryota; Metazoa; Chordata; Mammalia; Didelphimorphia; Didelphidae. The record is from Ensembl.
AUGCCAUACUUGGCAGCACAUAUACUAAAACUGGAACCUUACAGAGAAAAUUAGCAUGGUUCCUAUGCAAGGAUGACAUACAAAUUCAUGAAGCAUUCAAAACAAAC